Notechis scutatus (mainland tiger snake) is the source of this 143-nucleotide small nucleolar RNA. NCBI's taxonomy places the organism in Eukaryota, Metazoa, Chordata, Lepidosauria, Squamata, Elapidae. The record is from Ensembl.
CCCAUGGCCCUAUCGAAGCUGCGUCUGUCUUAUCUGUGACUGAUGUAGUCAAAAAGGUGCCGAAAAUAAUAUUUUUCUUUGACGGUCGCUGUUUGGUUUGUUCUCCCAUAACUCUUCAGCAACAUUUUGGGGAAAAUACAUAU